UACGUAGGGUCCGAGCGUUGUCCGGAAUUAUUGGGCGUAAAGGGCUCGUAGGCGGUUUGUCGCGUCGGGAGUGAAAACACCGGGCUUAACUCGGUGCUUGCUUUCGAUACGGGCAGACUAGAGGUAUGCAGGGGAGAACGGAAUUCCUGGUGUAGCGGUGAAAUGUGUAGAGAUCGGGAGGAACACCGGUGGCGAAGGCGGGUCUCUGGGCAUUUCCUGACGCUGAGGCGCGAAAGCGUGGGGAGCAAACGGG
RNAcentral lists this ribosomal RNA (253 nucleotides) under uncultured bacterium. Its description in RNAcentral is "partial 16S ribosomal RNA". It matches the Rfam family "Bacterial small subunit ribosomal RNA", at positions 524 to 776 of the family's 1533-position model. The record is from RNAcentral.